UUUAAUUGAGAAGAAAAUUCACAUAAAAUUUUAAAGUGAACAAUUCAGAGGCACUUAGUAUACAUUCACAAUGCAAGCACCACCUCUAGCUCCAAAGCAUUUUCAUUGUCUCCUAAGGCAGUUCUAUACCCAGCACCCUCCUCAUUCUCCCCUGAUCCCUGCUCCUGGCAACUUCUCACCCACUUUGUCUCCACAGACUGGCUCACCCUGGACAUUCCCUAUAAACACAGUGACACGCUGUGGUCCUUUGUGCCUCUCUGAGCAUCGUGUGUUCAAGGUUCACCCAGGAGCUAACACCUGUUUUACAGCUGACGAUCCUCCACCAUAUGUAUGGACCACAUUUUCUUUAUCCGUUUGUCAGCUGAUGGACUUGUGGCUACUGUGAGGACUGCUGCUGCGAAGUCUGUGUAAGGGAUCAGUCCUGAUUUCCCCUCCUCUGGAUGAGCUCCCUGGGGUGGGACUGCUGGGCCGUAAUGGCAGCGCUCCGUGUAACCCUGUGAGGAACCACACUUGCCCGAUUUUAAGGUGUUUGCCGUGGCCUCUCAGAAGCACUGUCCACAGCUGGGGGUUUUUAGCAAGGGCCCAGGCAAGCCAUGGGAUCCAGGCAGGUUUAGGAACUGGUUAAGCAACAUGUCUGAUGGCAAGCCUGUUCUCCCUCUGCAGGGGAGGGUGGGGAGGGGGCUCGCCACAGCCCUGCCACCCCCUCCAGCCCCUUAGCAUAAAACGGCCUAACAGACAACCACCCUCCCCGCUACUCACUUGGCGUCUCCAACCCUUCUGAUUUCUGAGCAGCAGCAGCAUCACUCAGUGUCUGGGCGGGAGGAAGGAGCUCUGAAGACUUCUGUUCCUCUCCAUCCCAAUUGUCCCACAGAGCUGAGUUCAAAAAGCUUGGCCUGCUGCUCGACGGCACGCUGGCCCGAGGGGACCUCUCUCGGGACUUUCUCUGGCUAGUGCAGCUCCCUCGGGCAGGGGGGGUGCCCAGGAGGGCCGGAGAGCUGCAGCCACUGCUGUCUGGAGCCUCCCCUGCCUUACUGCCCGGACUGCUGGUGCUCAGGGGGCCUGUCUGCUCAAGGUUCAAGCGGUCAAUGGGAAUGGGUGACAGGGGCUCCACAUGCCAAUGACACUCGUCCACCGGAAUUGGAGGGUCGCUGUCCGGCAGGGGGCUGCUGUUGGCCUGACAGGAGGCCACCUCCUUCUCGUCCUCGCUGUCCUCCACCUCCACGACUUCACUUGUGAUGACCUGACUCGGUGGGCUGGGCCCUGGCGGCGAACACCUGUGGGGCUGCCCAGUGAAAUCGGCCAGAUGGGAGAUGGGACAGGGAGCCGGAGAGCAGCGCUGGGGGUGCGCAGGGUGGGGCCUGGCAGGGCUCCUGCUGUCGGGGCUGCCUGCACUGACGGAGACCAGGCCUGAGGACGACACGGGGGGCGUGAUGACGGAACACUGGCUUGCAGCUUCGGGCACACCCCUAUUUUCUAAUGGGGUCCAGCGCUUGACCUCAGCCGGCUGAUCCACUGGAGCCCGGGACCUGAGGCCUGUUAUCUGGGUCUGUGAAGAAGAGUCACGCCUUCUGCUGGCCAGUGGGGUGGCAGGCACGAACCAUGACAUAUCCGUGGUGCUGUCCCCCUCAGGGCCACUGUCAGGGUCACACGGCAGCUGAGGGGUCCCUCUGCUCCCCACAGAGCCCCGGUUCCCUGACAGCCUCCCAUCCCCGCACGGCAGUGAAGCCUCUCCUCUAGCUGGACUUUGGAAAGGUUCCUGAUCUGCAUCAACGUCAAUCACAGAAAACAGCUCAGAAGGCUUGGGGCUAACUUCUAGAACUUUCCUUUCUUCCAAGGGACCAUUAAAAACUGACUUUAUUUUGGUUUGUUCUAGCUCCAGCUCUUCAUCUGAAUCCAAUAAAAGGAUAAUCUCAUCUUCUUUGUUCUUGCUGGAUGGAGUAUUUUGAGAUCUGGAGCUCAAACAGCUAGGUUUUGACUGGGUUAGGUCGAUGGAAGGAGAUUUUUCUGGGGAGAUCAGAAUCCCUUUAUUUCUGCAUUCCAACAGGGAACUAUGUUCUUCGCCCUUCUGGACACCUGGAUCUUUAAAUAAUGUGAGGAGGCUCCUGCCCCUCCUCUGCUUCAAUGGUGAGUCCUGGGAGGCCGCCCUGGAAGCUCUGCCUUGUGACUGGGGCACUGGCAAGGGUGACUCACCCCUGAGACUCUGGCCCCGAGGGGGCUGUGACAGGGGCGGGUGCCAUGGGGGUGCCUGCUGGUGAGUGGGGAUACAGGGGCUCUCCGUCCCCUUUCCCGAGAUGGUGUCAUUGUCUUCCUGGAGAUGGCUCAUUAUCUGGGAUGGUCCAGGGCAUCUUCUGGGAGUUGAUGAAAACAUCCGGGCCUCAGGAGCAUCAGCUGAGUGCCAGAAAGCACCUUCCUUUCUCCCUGGCCCGCAGCCUCCAGAAGGGCGAGGGGAGCUGGAACGACCCAGCGCUCCCUCCGGGGAGCCUGCUUUCUCUCCCGCGCCCUGGCCCUUGAGCAGCAGGGGCGUGGACUGUCUUGCGCUCUUCCUUUUGGCUGGGGCCUCUUCUCUUCCGCUAACCUGGUCACUUCCUAAGAUCUGCACGGACACUGGACCAUCCUCCCCGAAUGGGUCAGUUUUUUCCUUGAUCUCUGGAGCCCCUUCCCCCCGGAGCAGCUCUCGCUGAGUGGCUGCAAAUUCAUAAAUUUCUUCCAUUUCUGCCUCAUUCACUUUUUCUCUGUCUUCUUCACAACCCUCAGGUUUCAUCAAAGCCUCUGCUUCUUCCUCUUCACCUGUCCACAUGGACCUCAAGAGUUCUUGGAAGUUCUCCGCGCGGCUUUCACAAUCCUUGUCUUCCUUCUCCUUCCACGGUGUGUCCUCUGAAUCUGUCAUGUCAGGUGCUUGUUCGCACAGAAGAACAAGCUCACUAACACCAAACCUGCAAGAGGAAAUGCCACGCAUCACUACCCUGCAGACGCGGUGGUUGGGCACCCCAGCGUAGGUGAGGACCGUCGGUCCUGACCCCUUCCCUGCUCUCGAGCAGACGGGCCGUGCUCUCAGCCAGCAACACCCCAGCACCUUGAGCUUGAAAAGAGACUCCCGGACCUUUAAGGCAGGGCUCACUGACUCUACUGCCCAAAGGGGCACAUCGGGCUGAGCUGAAGACAAGAGAAUGGUGCUGCUGCAAGGAGAGCAUGCUGCCUUGAAAGGCACUUGAGGCUCUGUGACUGACGCAAACCACAGAGACCAGACCUGUCCCCAUCAGCCCGGCCCAAUGGGCAUGCCAGCCUGCAGCCUCCUUGAAGGCUCCCUGGUCUGACUGCUACAUCAGGACCCCAGAGGCUGAGCUCAUCCCUUCCCAGGAGAGCACCCAAGGUUAUGCCAGGGCCUUGGGCGAAUAUGGCUUCAUCCCAGGGGCCCUCAACCUUGUCAGGAGACAGAACACCUUGUCUGUGGAGCCACCUGCCACCUCUCCUGACGCUGUGCGGAUGAGAGGGAUACAUGCUAACCCAUGGCAGUUGCACUAGACACUCUACCCACUUCUGUUUUCUGGGACGUGGGACAGAAUAGCCCCCACUGAGCUUCUAUGGCUGAACAACGGAAGAGAGGCAGCGUCUGGGGGCAGCUGAGCUGAGGGCCACCCUCUCAUCACACCCUCUCAUCACAGGGAGCUAAAAGCCACAUGACACGGCAGAGGCUGUCCUCAAUCCGUGCUGGGCUCUCCUGCCAGUGUCCGCUCCGGCCAGACUGCCAGUCACCAUGUCCCAGGCCGAGUCACUGGGGUUAACAGGGCAGGAAGGACGCAGGCCUGACCCUCCUGUGAACCGCCAACCUGCUGAUCCUCAGCAGCUAACGUGAGAUGCUGUGAAGGUAAAUGGCAAAGACACUCGGACCUGUGGGCCAGAGCGCUCAGGUCGGGGGCCAGCUGGGGAGGCACGCCGGGGUCCGCGGUAUAGAGGUAGUGCAGGAGCGCAUGGAUGGCCUCGGUGCUCACGUCACUCAGCAGCACACGCUGACUCCUCAGAUCGCCAUCCUCCACAGCGAAGAAGCCUUCACUGUUCACCUGAGAAUGAAAUAAAACAUGGGUGUGAUAUGGGGCAACACAGAGGGCCCAGGAGGCUCUGUAUGUCCCAGCACCGGCACUGGCCAGGUCCCACCAGCCUGCUGGUCAGGAACUCUGCGGUCAGGCCCUCAAACUUCUGUUUGCAAAAUCAGACUGUGAAAGACAUUCAAACACCCCAUUAGUUCCCUCUUGACAGACACAUCAGAGGCACUAGAACUUUCUGGUGGAGACCAGCAGCUGGCUUCUGGAUUGCCGCAGCACAACAUUCAAAUCAGAUGCAUGUCAGUACAGGUCAGCACAGAAAGAUCUGUCUGCAGCUCAGCCUUCAAGAGGUCGAUGACAACCUCAUAAUUACAGAAAUAGAAGAAAAGGGAACCGUUCUACAGAAAAUGGAUUUUGAUUCAGUCGAGAAAUCUGAUGUUCCCCAAUCCUCCACUCAUCUCCUCGGACCACCACCUCACCUGGAAUCUGUCUCCCCACUGCCGCAAGUGUAACAGAGGAGGGAGGUCAGAAGUCCUCCUGUAACGCAGGGUCCACAGAUGGCCUCUGGCGGGGAUUCAUGAAGCCCUGGCAGUUUUAUGCCAGUUUCACAGGUGUGUGGGGGUGUGGUCUUCUGGGGAAUCAUGUGUAACUUUCACUGCUCCCAAAGAGGCAUGAAGGACCAAUGACAUUUCAGUAACACUACUGAAGCCUUACAACAGUCUCUGUGAGCUAAGUUUUUACCACUACUCCACUGAGACAGCACGUUGACCACACUAAUAAAAAAUACCAUUUAAGAUCA
Molecule: long non-coding RNA, 4839 nt
Organism: Canis lupus familiaris (dog)
Lineage: Eukaryota; Metazoa; Chordata; Mammalia; Carnivora; Canidae
Exons: 2
Source: RefSeq, a predicted model, not a curated record